Molecule: unclassified non-coding RNA, 432 nt
Filed under: soil metagenome
Description: partial contains 5.8S ribosomal RNA, internal transcribed spacer 2, and large subunit ribosomal RNA
Rfam family: 5.8S ribosomal RNA (bases 1-120)
Source: RNAcentral
GAUGAAGAACGUAGCGAAAUGCGAUACGUAAUGUGAAUUGCAGAAUUCAGUGAAUCAUCGAAUCUUUGAACGCAUAUUGCGCUCUCUGGUAUUCCGGAGAGCAUGCUUGUUUGAGUAUCAGUAAACACCUCAACUUCCAUAUCUUUUUUGAAAUGGGAGUUGGACUUGAGUGAUCCCAACGCUUUUCCUCACCGAAAAGUGGCGGGUUACUUGAAAUGCAGGUGCAGCUGGCCUUUUCUCUGAGCUAUAAGCAUAUCUAUUUAGUCUGCCUAAAAAACAGAUUAUUACCUUUGCUGCAGCUAACAUAAAGGAGAUUAGUUCUUGUGCUGACUGAUGCAGGAUUCACAAAGACGGCUUCGGCCGACUUUGUAAACUCGAUCUCAAAUCAAGUAAGACUACCCGCUGAACUUAAGCAUAUCAAUAAGCGGAGGA